RNAcentral lists this non-coding RNA (96 nucleotides) under uncultured Cellulosilyticum sp. RNAcentral's name for it is "Fusobacteriales-1 RNA". It matches the Rfam family "Fusobacteriales-1 RNA", at positions 23 to 112 of the family's 113-position model. The record is from RNAcentral. Lineage: Bacteria; Bacillati; Bacillota; Clostridia; Lachnospirales; Cellulosilyticaceae.
UAUUUAGUCUUUCUAUAACAAGGACGCUUCACAAUGUGCGGCAAAGAAACAUUGUUGAUACAAAUACGUCUCUCGAUGUACGACAAAGAAACAUCG